GAAGGGGUUCCCUCUCCAAGACAUCAAAAGGGUCUCAAGGAAAGGAAGAUACAAGGAAGUGUUGCCCUGAAAAUUCCCCAGAUGAGGCUCAUUUGACAAUCUAAAACUGGUUUUGCACACAGGCAUACCAGCAACAUCAGGGGGUAGGGGAGAGUUGACCAAGGCCAAGGUUUAUACCCUGCUGAAGAGUCAUAAAGAUGUUCGCUGAGAGCAGGAGGACAAUGCACUGAUGAAAUAAAAACUCACAUUUUAAGGAAAGACAAGAAAAAAUUAAACAUAAAACUAUUUCUCCGCAGGUUUGGGCCUCCUCUUCCCUCCCCAGAGUGUGCACGGUGCAUCUGCAUUUAGUGUGACCCACAUCUUCCCCAUGGCCACCUCCUGGCAGCAGCUACAUAACUUCUCCAGGGGAUCUUCCCAACCCAGGGAUCAAACCCAUGUCUCCUGCAUUGGCAGGCGGAUUCUUUUACCAAUUGACUGUUGAUCACUUUUUGUUGACACUUAUAAGAACAAUGCAUGAACAGAGCAAGAAUCUCAACAAAGAAAAAGAAAGUGUAAGAAACUACCAAACAGAAAUCACAGAGCUGAAGAAUAUAAUGACUGAACUGAAAAAUACAAUAAAGGAGUUCAACAAUAGAUUCAACGAAGCACCAGAAAAGAUCAGUAAACUCUAAGACAGGGACAGCAGUGGAACUCAUCCAAUCAGAGCAGCUAACAGAAAAAGGAAUUUAAAAACAGUGAAGAGAGUUUAAAGGACUUGUGGUAAAACAUCAAGUAGAUCAAUAUUUACAUUAUAGGCAUCCCAGAAGGAGAAGAAAGAAAGGGGUAAAAGACUUAUUUGGAGAAAUAAUGGCUGAAAACUUCCUAACCUGAGGAAGAAAACAGAAGUUCAGAUCCAGAAAGCCCAGAGACUUCCAAAUAAACCCAAGGGAACCCACACCAAGAUACAUUAUAAUUAAAUUGUCAAAAGAGAAAGAACGGUUACAAGGCAAUAUUUAGAAAAGUGAGCAGGGAGAAAAGAAAUUCAAUAGCUUAACAUCUGGACAUUUAAACUGUUGGAGGUUUUGAAUUAUCCACGUUACCCUUACUUUGCUGAUUAUUCUUCAGCUAUUUCCAGUGUGUCCCAAAUUGGAGGCAAAAUAUCCCUAUUUAUUUAGAAACUGUCUAAUCCUUGAGCAACUCUAUUUUUUUUUUUUUUUUUUGCAAUAUACUGGUUAGGUCAACACUCCAUAUACUAUGAAGCCAAAGCAUUUCAAAAUUAACAGGCUUAAAAAAUUGCCUGAGCAGUUGGGCUGGGGAGGGAUGCUGGGGGAGUAAAACAAAGAAUGGCCAUUUGAAAUAACCAUCCAAGACUGAGGUCAAAGGGAAGCAGAGAGAUUUUAGGUUCAGCAUAAAUUUGUAUUUCAGAGUAUCACACACAGAGUACAAACACACAUGGCAUUUAUCAGCUUCCCCCAUCCCAGGUUAUAUUCAAUUUUAAACUUCACAAUUUAAAAAGCAGCUACAUCUGUCGAUACAAAAUAUAUACACUUGACUGUACACUGAGUUGGCAAGGAGGUACCACUAAUUUUG
Molecule: long non-coding RNA, 1569 nt
Organism: Bos taurus (domestic cattle)
Lineage: Eukaryota; Metazoa; Chordata; Mammalia; Artiodactyla; Bovidae
Source: Ensembl